UACGUAUGGGGCAAGCGUUAUCCGGAUUUACUGGGUGUAAAGGGAGCGUAGGCGGCGGGGCAAGCCUGAUGUGAAAGCCCGGGGCUCAACCCCGGGACUGCAUUGGGAACUGCCCUGCUGGAGUGCCGGAGGGGCAGGCGGAAUUCCUAGUGUAGCGGUGAAAUGCGUAGAUAUUAGGAGGAACACCAGUGGCGAAGGCGGCCUGCUGGGCUUUUACUGACGCUGAGGCUCGAAAGUGUGGGGAGCAAACAGG
Molecule: ribosomal RNA, 253 nt
Filed under: uncultured bacterium
Lineage: Bacteria
Description: partial 16S ribosomal RNA
Rfam family: Bacterial small subunit ribosomal RNA
Source: RNAcentral